RNAcentral lists this ribosomal RNA (88 nucleotides) under uncultured bacterium. RNAcentral's name for it is "partial 16S ribosomal RNA". The record is from RNAcentral.
AGUCUGAUGCAGCCAUGCCGCGUGAGUGAUGACGGCCUUCGGGUUGUAAAGCUCUUUUAAUAGGGAAGAUAAUGCGGCUACCUAUAGA